Molecule: long non-coding RNA, 716 nt
Organism: Sinocyclocheilus anshuiensis
Lineage: Eukaryota; Metazoa; Chordata; Actinopteri; Cypriniformes; Cyprinidae
Exons: 3
Source: RefSeq, a predicted model, not a curated record
GUUGUACGUUGAUCAUAGAUCAUUUUUUUUAUGCUAUAGGUGAGGCAUAAUUGCUAACUGUUUCAUGUUUCUUUCUUUCAGUGUUAAAAGCGAAGUCCUUAUUUCUGCAGCUUUAGUGGCACUGUAGUCUACUACUAUUUUUAUUUACGCAAUUCUGUUUAGUGGCAUAGAAUUUAUACACUUCACUUUUAACUUCAUAAAUGUAGGUCCGAUAGUUUUCAGUCAGUAAUAUGCCUGUAUACUCUUGUCCAGAAAGAAGCCAACCAUAUAGGGAAUUCAAGGAAGACAUGGAAGGGCUGAUUUUCAGGUGUCAAGCAAUGAUAUUACAGGGCACUCAUAUGGACUUAACACCCAUAACAGAAAUAACCUUUACAUGUCUGGACAUCUGCCUUUCCUUACAUCAGAACCACAGCAUGUCUUCAGCAGCAAACAGCUUCCGAUCAGAGACUCUUCUGUACCGACAUGUUUUAUGUGGAUUGACAUCAUGUAACCAAAGGAUGCAGUGACUCCCUCAUCUCCUUGGUGAAAAAAUUUCUGCGACAAUCGUACAAUUUUAGAAAAAAGCAGGGCCUGGAAGGGGAGCAGGCGGCUGCUGGCGUAUCAGUAAUCAGUUGGCUUUAUCUGGACUUGUCACGCACUCAGAGCUCGGCUGGCUACAAUCCUCAGGCUUGAUCAGAUCAGGAUGUCCUGGGAAAGCAAGAUAAAGCACUUCGCAG